GAUGAACGCUGGCGGCGUGCCUAAUACAUGCAAGUCGAGCGAACAGACGAGGAGCUUGCUCCUCUGACGUUAGCGGCGGACGGGUGAGUAACACGUGGAUAACCUACCUAUAAGACUGGGAUAACUUCGGGAAACCGGAGCUAAUACCGGAUAAUAUAUUGAACCGCAUGGUUCAAUAGUGAAAUACGGUUUUUCUGUCACUUAUAGAUGGAUCCGCGCCGCAUUAGCUAGUUGGUAAGGUAACGGCUUACCAAGGCAACGAUGCGUAGCCGACCUGAGAGGGUGAUCGGCCACACUGGAACUGAGACACGGUCCAGACUCCUACGGGAGGCAGCAGUAGGGAAUCUUCCGCAAUGGGCGAAAGCCUGACGGAGCAACGCCGCGUGAGUGAUGAAGGUGUUCGGAUCGUAAAACUCUGUUAUUAGGGAAGAACAAAUGUGUAAGUAACUAUGCACGUCUUGACGGUACCUAAUCAGAAAGCCACGGCUAACUACGUG
This 497-nucleotide ribosomal RNA is filed under the name uncultured bacterium. RNAcentral describes it as "partial 16S ribosomal RNA". It matches the Rfam family "Bacterial small subunit ribosomal RNA", at positions 28 to 507 of the family's 1533-position model. The record is from RNAcentral.